This 258-nucleotide ribosomal RNA is filed under the name Acasta sp. 1 MCY-2020. RNAcentral's name for it is "partial small subunit ribosomal RNA". Lineage: Eukaryota; Metazoa; Arthropoda; Thecostraca; Balanomorpha; Balanidae. The record is from RNAcentral.
UUUAGAGGAACCUGCCCUGUAAACGAUGAGCCACGAAUUACUCUACUUUUUCUAGAAAUUCAGUUUGUAUACCGCUGUUGUCAGUUAGUUUCUUUAGAAAACUUUCGAAAAUGAUUAAAUUCAAUGACUUCAAGUAAAGGUGCAGCUUAUGGAGAAGAUAGAGGUGGGUUACAUUUAAAAGAAUAAAAUGAAUAAAGCUUUGAAAGAAGCUUUUGAAGGUGGAUUUAAUUGUAAAAUUUAAUUAGAUUUGAUUUGAGC